Molecule: ribosomal RNA, 448 nt
Filed under: uncultured prokaryote
Description: bacterial SSU rRNA
Rfam family: Bacterial small subunit ribosomal RNA
Source: RNAcentral
UCGGGAAUCUUGCACAAUGGGCGAAAGCCUGAUGCAGCAACGCCGUGUGAGCGAGGAAGGCCUUAGGGUCGUAAAGCUCUGUUGUUGGGGACGAAGGGCGAAGGGUUAAUAGCCCCUAGCCUGAUGGUACCCUUCGAGGAAGCCCCGGCUAACUACGUGCCAGCAGCCGCGGUAAUACGUAGGGGGCGAGCGUUGUCCGGAAUUAUUGGGCGUAAAGAGCGUGUCGGCGGCCUGGUAAGUCUGCCGUGAAAACCUGGGGCUCAACCCUGGGCGUGCGGUGGAUACUGCUAGGCUAGAGGAUGGUAGAGGCGAGUGGAAUUCCCGGUGUAGAGGUGAAAUUCGUAGAUAUUCGGAGGAACACCAGUGGCGAAGGCGGCUCACUGGCCAGAUACUGACACUGAGGUGCGAAAGUGUGGGGAGCAAACAGGAUUAGAUACCCGUGUAGUCC